This 23-nucleotide small nuclear RNA is filed under the name Arabidopsis thaliana (thale cress). RNAcentral's name for it is "snRNA_11216". Lineage: Eukaryota; Viridiplantae; Streptophyta; Magnoliopsida; Brassicales; Brassicaceae. The record is from RNAcentral.
ACGCAUCGUCAUAUAUUGUGUGA